CCUACGGGGGGCAGCAGUGAGGAAUAUUGGUCAAUGGUCGAGAGGCUGAACCAGCCAAGUCGCGUGAGGGAAGACGGCCCUACGGGUUGUAAACCUCUUUUGUCGGGGAGCAAAGCGAGUCACGUGUGACUCAUUGAGAGUACCCGAAGAAAAAGCAUCGGCUAACUCCGUGCCAGCAGCCGCGGUAAUACGGAGGAUGCGAGCGUUAUCCGGAUUUAUUGGGUUUAAAGGGUGCGUAGGCGGUUUGAUAAGUUAGAGGUGAAAUGUCGGGGCUCAACCCCGAAACUGCCGCUAAUACUGUUGGACUAGAGAAUAGUUGCGGUAGGCGGAAUGUAUGGUGUAGCGGUGAAAUGCUUAGAGAUCAUACAGAACACCGAUUGCGAAGGCAGCUUACCAAACUAUAUCUGACGUUGAGGCACGAAAGCGUGGGUAGCAAACAGGAUUAGAUACCCGAGUAGUC
RNAcentral lists this ribosomal RNA (460 nucleotides) under uncultured bacterium. RNAcentral describes it as "partial 16S ribosomal RNA". It matches the Rfam family "Bacterial small subunit ribosomal RNA", at positions 338 to 795 of the family's 1533-position model. The record is from RNAcentral.